This 329-nucleotide ribosomal RNA is filed under the name uncultured bacterium. RNAcentral's name for it is "bacterial SSU rRNA". It matches the Rfam family "Bacterial small subunit ribosomal RNA", at positions 28 to 355 of the family's 1533-position model. The record is from RNAcentral.
GAUGAACGCUGGCGGCGUGCUUAACACAUGCAAGUCGAGCGAAUGAAAUUCCUUCGGGAACGGAUUUAGCGGCGGACGGGUGAGUAACACGUGGGCAACCUGCCUCAUAGAGGGGAAUAGCCUUCCGAAAGGGAGAUUAAUACCGCAUAAGAUUGUAGUACCGCAUGGUACAGCAAUUAAAGGAGCAAUCCGCUAUGAGAUGGGCCUGCGGCGCAUUAGCUAGUUGGUGAGGUAACGGCUCACCAAGGCGACGAUGCGUAGCCGACCUGAGAGGGUGAUCGGCCACAUUGGGACUGAGACAGGUCCAGACUCCUACGGGAGGCAGCAGU